AUUGAACGCUGGCGGAAUGCUUUACAUAUGCAAGUCGAACGGCAGCACGGGGGCAACCCUGGUGGCGAGUGGCGAACGGGUGAGUAAUACAUCGGAACGUGCCCAGUCGUGGGGGAUAACGUAGCGAAAGUUACGCUAAUACCGCAUACGAUCUACGGAUGAAAGCGGGGGACCGUAAGGCCUCGCGCGAUUGGAGCGGCCGAUGUCAGAUUAGGUAGUUGGUGAGGUAAAGGCUCACCAAGCCGACGAUCUGUAGCUGGUCUGAGAGGACGACCAGCCACACUGGGACUGAGACACGGCCCAGACUCCUACGGGAGGCAGCAGUGGGGAAUUUUGGACAAUGGGCGCAAGCCUGAUCCAGCCAUUCCGCGUGCAGGACGAAGGCCUUCGGGUUGUAAACUGCUUUUGUACGGAACGAAAAGGCUCUGGUUAAUACCUGGAGCUCAUGACGGUACUGUAAGAAUAAGCACCGGCUAACUACGUGCCAGCCGCCGCCGUAA
RNAcentral lists this ribosomal RNA (500 nucleotides) under uncultured bacterium. RNAcentral's name for it is "partial 16S ribosomal RNA". It matches the Rfam family "Bacterial small subunit ribosomal RNA", at positions 30 to 523 of the family's 1533-position model. The record is from RNAcentral.